Molecule: small nuclear RNA, 23 nt
Filed under: Arabidopsis thaliana (thale cress)
Lineage: Eukaryota; Viridiplantae; Streptophyta; Magnoliopsida; Brassicales; Brassicaceae
Description: snRNA_02939
Source: RNAcentral
AGCCAGUGAUGAUUAGAUUCAAU